UACGUAGGUGGCAAGCGUUGUCCGGAUUUAUUGGGUUUAAAGGGUGCGUAGGCGGCUUUGUAAGUCAGUGGUGAAAUAUGGCAGCUCAACUGUCAGGGUGCCAUUGAUACUGCAGAGCUUGAGUACAGAUGAGGUAGGCGGAAUUGACGGUGUAGCAGUGAAAUGCUUAGAUAUCGUCAAGAACACCGAUAGCGAAGGCAGCUUACUGGGCUGUAACUGACGCUGAGGCACGAAAGUGUGGGGAUCAAACAGG
RNAcentral lists this ribosomal RNA (253 nucleotides) under uncultured bacterium. RNAcentral describes it as "partial 16S ribosomal RNA". It matches the Rfam family "Bacterial small subunit ribosomal RNA", at positions 524 to 776 of the family's 1533-position model. The record is from RNAcentral.